AGCCAGCCGAGUAUGGACUGAAACCUCCACAAACUUUUUUGCAGGUCAGAAGUUCAUGCUGGAUUUGCUGCUCAGAAACUCAUCAAACUGAAAUCAAUUUGUUGGCGAAGCCUGCAGUUCUCUCAUGGGUCUUGAUUCUCUUCCAAGCUCACAGGUCUAGAGAUGAAAUCACAGUCCAAGGUGGGCAAAUGAAAUGAAAUUAAAGAUAUUUUUUUCAACUACCAAAAAGAAGGAGAAGGAGGAGGAGGAGGAGGAGGAGGAGGAGGAGAAGACGACUUCUAUUAGUUUUGUCAAGAAAAUAUGGUGGUGAAUUCUAGAGCCCUUAAGACUUAGCUGUACAGAAAUGCCCAGGAGUGGAGCCUACUCAGAAUAAAGAAAUGCUGAGAGGAAGAGAGACGAAGAUUGAGAACAUCAGAGCAUCACUUUUGACAUAUAUGAGCCAAUAAAAUCUUUUUUACAGAUUUAUAUUCUAUGAAUUGCUUUCAGUUCCAGACUUUCCACAUUCCUCACCAGCUUGGUUGUCAUUAUGAACACUUUUCACUAAGGUAAUAUUAAAGGAGGAUGUAUCCAAUUAAUACCCACAUUAUUAACGUGGUGAAUAAUAGGUGAACAGAAACCAGAUAGUUUAAUGGGAGAUGAGAUGGGUUAAAGUCAAGAUAAUAUUUGAAAACCUUCAAGGCCAUGUGAAAAAUUGUAAACUUUAAAUGGCACCCACAAAAUCACAUUAAAGUUUGUUGAAGGAAAGUGACAUGAAACAACCUCUUUUUUUACUUAAAGUAAAAGUAUUUAGCAGUACAGGGAAAACUAUCUUUAACAACAAGAUACUUGAGGGAGGGCAAAGAGUUAUCAGGUAAUGAAAGAGAGGAGCUGAGAAAAGAUGAAGCUGGUGUGUAGCAUUUUAUAAAAGAAAUAAUGGAAAUGCUGGUAAAAAUUGCAGAAUUUCACAACUGAUUAGUCAUGGGAAUAAUCAAAUAAAAAUGUGGGGCUCUGAGCCAUAAUGUUUUACAAAAUUUCCCUUUCUCCUCUGUAUUAUAUUAUUCCACUAACUGGUUCUCUAUAAAACUUCUACCUAUUUGUAUUUAAGGAAGCUAUUGAGCUUAUUCUCAUAUUCUCUGAAUUACUUUUCACUGCACCAUUGUUAGAGUAAAUUUAGAUUUGCAUUAUAUCUGCACUUUAAUUUUUACUUAUUUGUAUGGGUGAAAAGAAAAAUGUUCUUUGCUUUUAUAAAACUAUAUAGCAAUUUUAUUUUUGCCCUGAUACCAUAAAUAGUCUUUUUCUUAGAAAAUAUUAGUGUAAAGCACCCUAAAAGAGGGAACCUUAAACAGUCACUAAAUACAAUAUGCAUGGGUUUCCUGAUCUAGGAAUUCAGACCGAAUACACAAGAAGGAUUGUCUGCUGUGCCACUCCUGCGGCCUCAGCUAGAAGACUGCGUGUGAUGAUUUCACUGUCCAAGGAACUGGCAUCAACUGGGGGUAUCUGGAAUUUAGGCAAGGAACUUCUCACUUUGACUCUAAUAUGCAGGAUCUCACAGCUCCAAAAGUUAGUACAGGAACAAUGGAAAGAAAGCCCAGAAAAUGGUCAGAAGGCCCACAAAAAAACACCAGAAAGUCUUAGAAGGAAGAGGAUACACAAAUGAGAAAUAGAAAACAGAAACAUGCAAACAAUUCCCUGUGGUAACCUCUCCUGCUUCUGAGACAGAUGUCAUAGUUGUCUUCAAUUCUCACCCUUUCCUGGGACCACGCCCUUGCUGUGGCUGUAUGAGGACUGCAUAUUUCCUGCCUCUUGACCUUAAGCUGCAUCACCUGGCUUGCUUUAGCCAAUGAGGAUGAAGGGAAAGUGUGUCAAGUACACGUCACACAAACCCUUCUCUGUUUCUGACACUCUUGAGCUUUGUUAUUGCCUGGAGAAGACAGCUGUGUCAACCUUUCCACAGACCUGCUAUGAGGGGUGCAGCAACCUCGUCCCAUGGGCUAGUGCAGAGCUGCUCACUUGCUGAAAAUUCUUCGGGAAUAUCUGAUGUAAUAAAUGAAUCCUGUUUUAAAA
Molecule: long non-coding RNA, 2043 nt
Organism: Chinchilla lanigera (long-tailed chinchilla)
Lineage: Eukaryota; Metazoa; Chordata; Mammalia; Rodentia; Chinchillidae
Exons: 3
Source: RefSeq, a predicted model, not a curated record